Poecile atricapillus (Black-capped chickadee) is the source of this 1599-nucleotide long non-coding RNA. RefSeq lists it as uncharacterized. The record is from RefSeq and is a predicted model, not a curated record. The transcript has 2 exons. NCBI's taxonomy places the organism in Eukaryota, Metazoa, Chordata, Aves, Passeriformes, Paridae.
GUGUGAUGGAGCCUUUUCCACGUAAAGGGGCCGUGUGGGUGGCCUUCAGGAACGGGCCGAGGGGUUGCCGUGAGUUGGGGAUGUCGGGAGGAGGAGCGAGGGUCCCUUUGAGUUUCAGCAAUGCAGCAUCACUUUGUCUUCUCUUAACUCAGGCGCGCCCUGCGACGACGGCGUCCGGCUCCCGGCGUGGCCGAAGCGCGUGGCCUCAGGACGUGGCCGUUCACAGGAGACCCUGACCCAGAAGACAGCAGCCUGGCGAUGGCAGGAACUUCCCAGAUGGCGAGGCGGCCUUCCUUGGCGCUCCAUGUGGAUCCACCCUGCCGAGCAUCCGAGAGCUGUGUCGGAGGCUGCGAAUUGCAGAGGGGCUGAAAUCGGGGUGCCGGGUCGGGACUCUGGACCUGGGAUAUUUGAGUCAGGUUUGGGGAUGGGGAGGUCCAGGCUGUGGUCCCUUAGGCCACGUGAAGGGAGAGCCUCACUUUUGUUCACAGUGCUGAGGUGUGCAGGACAGAGCAGUCCCGGGGCGUGUUGUAUCACUUGUCCGUCGUGCCUUCUGUGUCUUUUGUGCCUCUUGUGUUGUACGUGCCUCGCCUUAUCUCUUCUGGGGGCUUACCAGAAACCCCGGCGUCACUCCUCGCAUCUCUGAUCUCUGGGCUCCUCAGCCCGACACCAUCGAAGCUUUGCCUCAGGAUCUCUGAGGCCUUGGAAUCGCGUCUCUCUUUUAAAAGCAUCCGAUCGGAUGUCUUUUAGAGGUCUUGUUCCGAGCUGUGUCAACAGCCGUGCGCCGCGAGGAUCCAUUGUUGCGGCUUAGGUCUUGAAGAAACGCAGAGAUAGGUAGGGGGCUGUGGCCCUCAGAUUCUCGGGCAUCCCUCUUGGCAGUUGCUGGAGUUUGUCAUUCCAUCAGCAUCUUCUUCCUCCCGGGUUCUGCGAGCUUCAUCAGCUCGCCUUCAUUCUCACCCGGCUCAUCUCGUUCCGCGUUCUCUCGGUCCUUGCGGCCGUUCUUGUGGCCCAGAGUUUUGUCUCCCCGUUGUGUCCCCUCGUCUGUUGUCUUGUGUGUCACGGGUGUCUGGGUGUAGUUGUCCCGGAGCUGCUCUGUCCUGCUGCCCAGCCUGGGUGUAGGUGUAAAAGGCCAAGUCCCAGGCCCCUGUAAUUUGAAAUUUGUGAUGUAGGGUGUAGUUGGAGUCUAGCGGGUGUUCCUAGAUGGACACAAGAUGUCAGGAGCUGUGAACUUAUCCUGCAGCACUUUGACUUUUGUCUCAGCUUUCUAAGUAUUUAAUGAUUUGCUGCCCAAUGUCCGGUUCAAAAGAGUAAGGAAAACCUGUACUGAUUACGUUAUAUUGGCACUUCUGUGUGUUGGGAUAUAGGACUUUGUAGUGGUGUUCCUUAAGUUCAUGUCUCUCAGUGUUGAGCCCAUCAUGUAGUUCUAGUCUCUGAGCUUUUUUUCAAGUUUUAAUGCCUUUCUUGUUCCAAAGUUUAUUUUCUUAUCCAAAAAUAACUCCAAUAUUGUCCUUAAUACAUAACUUUCACAGUAAAAGGGCAAAGAUUAAAAUAGCUGUUAUGCUAAGCUCAGUAAUAAUGAUUGAUAAAACCUUUUUGAAAGUA